AUCUGGGCGGCGGAAUUCAGGAUGGCUGGCGUGCUCUCGCGCGUCGGUCGUUUGAUAUUUCCGUCGCCAACUAACCGCAGACGUCGCGACCUGUUCGCGGUCGGUCCCUGCUCGGAGGAGCCGCGUUCGAGCUCGUUGUGUGCGCGUUUCGGCGUGUCACACGGCGAAGGCGCGGAUCUCUGGCUGGCCGUCGGACAGUAUGCUUAACGGUGUCCGGUGUCGUCGUCUCGUACGCGCGGCAUCGGUACCGGUCAGCGACGAAUUCUUCGGGCCUCUUUCCGACCCGUCUUGAAACACGGACCAAGGAGUCUAACAUGCGCGCGAGUCGCGGGGUAUCGAGCGUACUUCGGUGCGUUCGUUAUGUUGCGAAACCCGUACAUGUUGAAGGCGUAAUGAAAGUGAAUGGGGAAGAUGGUGUUCCGAGUACACGUUCCGCGAUCGUCGGUAUCGCGGCCGGGCACCCGCAUUCCCAGGGCGUCUCAACGGCCCGUCGUUGAUGCGGACAGUCGUCUCUCGGGGCGGCUGUCGGUCGGCGACGAACCGA
Molecule: ribosomal RNA, 544 nt
Filed under: Chrysomphalus pinnulifer
Lineage: Eukaryota; Metazoa; Arthropoda; Insecta; Hemiptera; Diaspididae
Description: eukaryotic LSU rRNA
Source: RNAcentral